This 67-nucleotide transfer RNA is filed under the name Marmota monax (woodchuck). RNAcentral's name for it is "tRNA.Thr". The stretch from base 4 to 62 matches the Rfam family "tRNA", at positions 7 to 64 of the family's 71-position model. From Rfam's summary of the family: Transfer RNA (tRNA) molecules are approximately 80 nucleotides in length. Their secondary structure includes four short double-helical elements and three loops (D, anti-codon, and T loops). The record is from RNAcentral. Lineage: Eukaryota; Metazoa; Chordata; Mammalia; Rodentia; Sciuridae.
GUUGUGGCUCAGCGGCAGAGCGCUCAUCUAGUAUGUGUGAGGCCCUGGGUUCGAUCCUCAGCUCACA